GGAUAGGUGAAAAGAGAACAUGAGACGUAUCCGAAUAAAGUUUUCUACGUCCUCAAAGAGAAAUGGCACUGACGGAGAAACCGAAAAGAAACCUUCAGAUUCUCACCAGCGGUGAUUUGCGCUGCAAAGGGCGCAGAAACGCGGCUCUCAGACCUUGCCUGCGCGUGGGUUAAUUAAAACCAAUCCAGGUUCUGCAGCCCCCGACUCCUCCCUGCGGUUUAGCAGAAGGUAGGCGGGCUGCCCCAACCCUUAAAUACCCACGGGUCGACGCCGGCCAGAACCACGGACAGCUCCCGCCCUGUGGCCCAUGUGUCCUCCCAGCGCUGUGCGGUCUGCAGUUUCACCCGGAGGACAAGGAGUGUGGCUGCAGAUCGGGUCGGCCUGCCCUUGCUCUGCUUCUUCCCCACCCACACUUGGUGGGUGUCUUCUAGGCUGUCCAGCCUUGAACUAAGCACCCCAAGAGGAGUCAGAGCCCGAGAGAUGAGAAAGGGGCGCCCGAUGAAGAUCUAGGUCCGUCCCUCUCUGGGAGCUCAGCUACUGCGCCCGAGAGGCAGCGCUCAGACAGCGGGGAGGAGGCGGCCGCGGAGCCCCCGGAGAUGGAGGGUGAAGGCCUGCUUUCAAAGUAUCCCACGUCGUUCAGCAAAGAUUCGUCAUUUAGAAUUCAGACCUGCCAAGACCACGGAUGCUUUGUCUCAGCUCGGAUAUCUUCAUUUCUCCUUCUUACAGUUUCCUUGUUUCCGAGGAAAAACACAAGAUCUUGACAACUGCAAUCACCUGGUAACCAAUCAUGAAUCUGGUAUGGACCACUUUCACCCUGCCAAGAAUAUUUCCAGGAACCAAACUGCUUUGGAAGGGGAAGUGGGGCUUCUUGGAUAAAGUUUCCUGGAGAGAAAAGGAGUUCUAAUUAGUAUGGGCACUGAGGUGAGGAUAGAUAGAAACAGACAUGGGGGCAGCAUGCUUCUGUCUGGCCACCCUUAGCGGGUUGAUAUCUUGAUCAGUUGGUUGGUCAGUUCCUAGGAUAGAAUAAGGAUCCACAGCAUGUAGACCAUAUCACUGCCUAGGAAACACACAGUGGUGCUUGCCCUAGGAAUUUCUGCCCCUUCUUUCCAAGACCCCACAUUGGAGGCUCUAUCCAGAGUGAACUACUGAAAUUCUUUUAGAACUUUUAACCCAAAUAAAGCUGGGCUACCUUAUGUCCUAUUUUAGAAAUAGUACUUCUUUCUAAAGAAAUGUCAUCAUGACAAAAACAAAAAAACAACAACAAAAAACAUUGUCAAGCAAUAUAAUUCUUUAGUGGAAUCUUUGGAAAGGGCAACUUAUGGGAAAUUCCAUUUCUUGCCAUACAGUAAAAUGCCCUGAUGCGCCACAAAUUGCUCUUCUCUCUUUUCCUGUACUUUUUAUCAGUCUCAAACCUCCAGCUCUUCUUUCUUUCUCAUAUUUAUCUUCCUAUCUCCUGACUUUCUGGCUCCAAAGAUAACAGCGUUAUGGUACACAUCAGAAUCUCUGAAACCAAAUUGGCUAAUUAGCUUUGAACCUCGGCACUAUCAUGGUUUGUUUGUGGUCUUGGAAAAGUUGCCCAACAGUGGUUGACAUAUAUUAUAUUAACUUUUACCUUGUGCCAGGCAGGUAUUAAGUAACUAGCCCAAAGUUACUUAGCUAGUUAAUGAUAGAGCCAGGACCUGGCUCAAGCAACUUGACUCCAAAGCCUACAUUCUUCUUCUUUUUUUUUUUUUUUUUUUUUUUUUUUUUUUUUUUUUAGCGGAGUCUUUCUCUGUCACCCAGGCUGGCACAGUGCAAUGGCACGAUCUCAGCUCACUGCAACCUCCGCCUCCUGGGUUCAAGUAAUGCUCCUGCCUCAGCCUCCUGAGUAGCUGAGAUUACAGAUGCAUGCCACCACACCCAGCUAAUUUUUUUUUUUUUUUUGUAUUUUUAGUAAAGACAGGAUUUCACUAUGUUGGCCAGGCUGGUCUUGAACUCCUGACCUCAAGCAAUCCUCCUACCUUUGCCUCCCCAAGUGCUGGGAUUACAGGCGUGAGCCACCACACUUGGCCCAAAGCCCAGACUCUUGAGGACUAUGCUGUUCUGCUAUGUUAUGCCUCAGUUUUCUCAUCUUUAGAUGGGGGUAAUAAUAAUACUGCUUCAUGGCAGGAAAAAUAAUGUACUGGGGAGUGUUAACGCUAUAAAUAUAUUAAUUUCCUUCUGACAUUAAAUGGUUUUAAUGGUUGCAUUUUACUGAGUCUACUAAAAUUCAGAGACAUUAAGUUACUUUUUUUGUAGUCUCCCUGGUAAGUUGCUGAACAAAGCUGGGCUUAAAUUUAAAUCUAUACUAUUUCUAGUUGAGGCAUUCAAACUCAUACUCAGCCAUCUGAGGAUGAUGUAGUAUUGGGCGUCUGAUUUUUACCUUCCUGGGCCUCAGUUUUCUCACCUUUAAAUUUAGGGUGUUCACCUCACAAAUCCAUGAUAAUUAUAAAAAUUCGAUAUAAAAUUGUAAUUUGUAGACCUUCCAAUGGCAUGGACAUGUUAAGUGUGGUAUUGUUAAGUAUUAUUGGGUCUUUCUAGAAGCGUUUGCCCAAGUUGCACAGAGCUGGGGAAUAAACAAAGUUUCAUGGAAACACCAGACACGUCAAAAUCACCCAAGGACACCACAGAUGGCCAUUCAGCCUACUGGGGGAUCUAGUAAGAGAACCUACUGAGGAGAGGAUAGAGGGGAGCCUGCUAAGGUACCUGAGGCCAGAGAUACAGGAAAAUUAGCUGACCUCACUGCACAUGUGGGGAUGGGGGGAGAAUCCCUGUUCUGCUGGAACAACAGCGCUUCAGAGAGGCUACUACUCAUGGUGAAGAAGGAAGCUUUAACAGUGGAGAUCAUGAAGACCACAAUCACCUACACAUCCAAUCUUCCCUUAUCCCCUGUCCUAACAGAAUCGCUGUACUUGCCUUUCCUUUGAACGUGGGUUGCCUCAGGCAUUUGUUCAACAAAUACUUGUUAAGCACCUAUGAUGUGACAGACACUAUUCCAAAGCAUACAGACAAGAUUUCUGCUUUUAUAAUAUCUGUAUCCUGACAGAGGGAGGCAGGAGGGGAGACUAAAAGAAACAAAUGAAGGAUAUGAUUAUUUUGUCUGAUAAAGACUGUGAAGAAAAUAAACAUCUGAUUGCUCAUCAAAAUCAUCUUUGGUAAUAGAUCAUGAUAUACUUUUGCCAAAUAACCUGAAGGUGCUCAAAGAAUUGAGUGGCAUUACUAUAUAGUUUCUCAGCACCUACAACCAUAAAAAAUGGGGAAAAACCCAAACAAAAAUAAUCAAUACUGGUUCCUGUUUCAUUUUAGUAACAAAUAAAUUUUGCAUAAACUAAGAGGGUUAAAAAAUUUUCCAUCAUUUUAAUUAACAAAUGCAUUUCCAAUUAUAGUGCACUUUUGUGGUUAGCAAUUAUUUAUAAAUUGUGUAUUAAUAAUAUUUGUAAAUAUCACUCAAUCCAAAACAUGUUUUAACCCUCAGGAUCUUAG
This 3501-nucleotide long non-coding RNA is filed under the name Homo sapiens (human). Its description in RNAcentral is "HSALNT0194108". Lineage: Eukaryota; Metazoa; Chordata; Mammalia; Primates; Hominidae. The record is from RNAcentral.